RNAcentral lists this ribosomal RNA (238 nucleotides) under uncultured bacterium. RNAcentral's name for it is "partial 16S ribosomal RNA". It matches the Rfam family "Bacterial small subunit ribosomal RNA", at positions 15 to 235 of the family's 1533-position model. The record is from RNAcentral.
GAUCAUGGCUCAGGACGAACGCUGGCGGCGCGCCUAAGACAUGCAAGUCGAACGGAGAUUACAGGCGGAAGUUUUCGGAUGGAAGCUUGUAAACUUAGUGGCGGACGGGUGAGUAACACGUGAGCAACCUGCCUAUCAGAGGGGGAUAACGAUUGGAAACGAUCGCUAAUACCGCAUGACAUAGCGGAACCGCAUGGUUUUGCUAUCAAAGAUUUUAUCGCUGAUAGAUGGGUUCGCG